This 1157-nucleotide long non-coding RNA is filed under the name Salmo salar (Atlantic salmon). Its description in RNAcentral is "lncRNA (ENSSSAG00000083489.1)". The record is from RNAcentral. Lineage: Eukaryota; Metazoa; Chordata; Actinopteri; Salmoniformes; Salmonidae.
CGUGACUUGUUGAUUUCCCCUGAGCAAAUAAAGUCUGCAAAGACUGCGCCGGUCCCAAUAGUGGUUAGCUGAUGAAUUGACAAAAACGAAUCAGCUUGAUUGGUAGACAGGUUAAGGGCAACAGUAAUAAUUCUAAUUUCGACCUUUUCCUCCAUUAACUUUAAGUGGCUUAUUAGACCAUAAGACAACCACCCCCAGAGCUAUAGAUAUCUAGGCCUACAUGGAACCUAUGGCACCUAAUAACGAUUAUAUGCUUCAUAUUUUGCUAAUUUAAAAAAAUAUAUAUAUAUUUCACCUUUAUUUAACCAGGUAGGCUAGUUGAGAACAAGUUCUCAUUUGCAACUGCGACCUGGCCAAGAUAAAGCAUAGCAAUUCGACACAUACAACAACACAGUUACACAUGGAAUAAACAAAACAUACAGUCAAUAAUACAGUAGAACAAAAGAAAACAAAAAGUAUAUAUAGAGUGAGUGCAAAUGAGGUAAGUUAAGGCAAUAAAUAGGCCAUGGUGGGGAAGUAAUUACAAUACAGCAAUUAAACACUGGAAUGGUAGAUGUGCAGAAGAUGAAUGUGCAAGUAGAGAUACUGGGGUGCAAAGGAGCAAGAUAAAUAAAAAAAAUACAGUAUGGGGAUGAGGUAGGUAGAUAGAUGGGCUGUUUACAGGUAGGUAGAUAGAUGGGCUGUUUACAGCUAUGUACAGGUGCAGUGAUUUGAGCCAUACAGAACUAAGGAUGCAAUUUUCGUCAAAUUUGAUAACAGUUAGUGCACUUUCAAUGUCAAAAUAUGCCUUUGAAUAUUGAAUAUCUAUGUACCGGUGUGAAUACAGGUGUGAAUACAGGUGUGAAUACAGGUGUGUAUGCAGGUGUAUGCAGAGGCAUACAUGAAGAGACCCAGGGGACAGCACGUGAGUUCAAAAGAGAUCUUCAAAUGAUGAAGCUUCCAUUGAAGAACACUCUCUGGGUUCUGUUGGAUAAAUAACUCUCCAACCAUGUGAUGGCAGGUGAUGUAAAGCAUAGCAAGUGAGUUUCUUCAUUAACAAUUUAUGAUUAAUAAUAAGGCAUAGAAAAUGAAUAGGCCUAUUAUUUGACUGUACAGGCUUCUUCCAAAAUAUUUUGGGUAAUAUGUCUGUCAUUGCUAAACUGUACAUGUAGGCUACA